GACGAACGCUGGCGGCGUGCUUAACACAUGCAAGUCGUACGGUAAGGCCCUUUCGGGGGUACACGAGUGGCGAACGGGUGAGUAACACGUGAGUAACCUGCCCACAACUUUGGGAUAACGCUAGGAAACUGGUGCUAAUACUGGAUAUGUGCUCCUGCUGCAUGGUGGGGGUUGGAAAGCUCCGGCGGUUGUGGAUGGACUCGCGGCCUAUCAGCUUGUUGGUGGGGUAGUGGCCUACCAAGGCGGCGACGGGUAGCCGGCCUGAGAGGGUGACCGGCCACAUUGGGACUGAGAUACGGCCCAGACUCCUACGGGAGGCAGCACUGGGGAAUAUUGCACAAUGGGCGCAAGCCUGAUGCAGCAACGCCGCGUGCGGGAUGACGGCCUUCGGGUUGUAAACCGCUUUCAGCAGGGACGAAGCUUUUUGUGACGGUACCUGCAGAAGAAGCACCGGCUAACUACGUG
RNAcentral lists this ribosomal RNA (465 nucleotides) under uncultured bacterium. RNAcentral's name for it is "partial 16S ribosomal RNA". It matches the Rfam family "Bacterial small subunit ribosomal RNA", at positions 28 to 507 of the family's 1533-position model. The record is from RNAcentral.